AGCCCUCUGUAUCCGUGCUGAGAUUUCGUCAGCGACCAACCCUCUGGCGUUGGCUGAUGCAACUUCCUAAAUAAGUGAAGCG
RNAcentral lists this microRNA precursor (82 nucleotides) under Trichobilharzia regenti. Its description in RNAcentral is "mir-3492 microRNA precursor family". It matches the Rfam family "mir-3492 microRNA precursor family". The record is from Rfam by way of RNAcentral. Lineage: Eukaryota; Metazoa; Platyhelminthes; Trematoda; Strigeidida; Schistosomatidae.